GACGAACGCUGGCGGCGUGCUUAACACAUGCAAGUCGAACGGAAAGGCCCUGCUUUUGUGGGGUGCUCGAGUGGCGAACGGGUGAGUAACACGUGAGUAACCUGCCCUUGACUUUGGGAUAACUUCAGGAAACUGGGGCUAAUACCGGAUAGGAGCUCCUGCUGCAUGGUGGGGGUUGGAAAGUUUCGGCGGUUGGGGAUGGACUCGCGGCUUAUCAGCUUGUUGGUGGGGUAGUGGCUUACCAAGGCUUUGACGGGUAGCCGGCCUGAGAGGGUGACCGGGCCAAAUGGGGAUGGGGUUAGGGCCCAACCCCCUACGGGGGGAAGAGGGGGGGAUUUUUGCAAAAGGGGGGGAGCCUGGAUCCAGAAACCCCGGGGGGGGGAUGCCGGCUUUGGGGUUGUAAACCGCUUUCGCCUGUGACGAAGGGGGAGUGACGGUAAUGGUAAAAGAAGCACCGCUUAACUACGG
This 468-nucleotide ribosomal RNA is filed under the name uncultured bacterium. Its description in RNAcentral is "partial 16S ribosomal RNA". It matches the Rfam family "Bacterial small subunit ribosomal RNA", at positions 28 to 506 of the family's 1533-position model. The record is from RNAcentral.